UUAUUGAGACAGCUGAUACAACCUUAGUUACAACAGAAUGGGCUAUGUAUGAACUUGCUAAAGACAAAAGUCGCCAGGUUGUUUUUCCGCUGUGUUUAGUUUUUAAUUAUAGCACGUUUAGUUUCAUGGUGAAAUGAUCUAGAGUCACUUGGGAAAAAGCUACAAGUUUUAGCUUCUUAGCAAAUGUGCCUUGAAUCCUGAGCAAAUCGUGAAAGCGUGCUACUAGUGGUUUCUCCCCCAUUAUUGACAAACAGUUGCUGGUUUACUCUUUGUGUCUGGUUGGUUAAUUUAUAGCAUGUUAGAUCAGUUUUCUCUUUUCUCAUAUAGUAUGUGUCGAAUUGCUUUGAGCAACUUGAAAUCGAUUCUCUAUCAUAGAGUAGCUUCUCAUUUACCCCUUCAUUUCAACAUCGAUUCUACUAAAUGUGAAAAAUGAUAGCUUUUCGCUAAGAGUCAGUAUCUCAGAAGUUUCUUCACAUAAUUAAUUUUGGCUUUACAAUUAAUUGUUAGAAUGAUUUUCAAACAUGCACCUAAAUUGUUGCCAGUCUCCUCUUUAUAUGGCAGGACCGUUUGUAUGAGGAGCUCCAAAAUGUGUGUGGACAUAAAAAAAUUACAGAAGACCAAUUAGCUAAGCUACCUUAUUUAGGGGCUGUGUUCCAUGAAACUUUAAGGAAGCAUAGUCCAAGUCCAACAGUACCACCAAGAUAUGCUCAUGAAGAUACCGAGUUGGGUGGAUAUCAUAUUCCUGCAGGAAGCGAGGUGCAGAAUUUAGCUUCUUAUAAAUAUUAAAUAUUAUGUUUAUAUGUAUGAUUGCGAGCCAAUAUUCACAUAAAUUUAUAUGCCUCAUUCAUUCAUGUUAACUGCAGAUUGCAAUAAAUAUAUAUGGAUGCAACAUGGACGAGAAGCAGUGGGAAAAUCCUCAGCAGUGGACGCCUGAGAGAUUUCUUGAUGAGAAAUAUGACAACACGGAUUUGUACAAGACAAUGGCAUUUGGAGCAGGAAAGAGGGUGUGUGCAGGGUCUCUUCAGGCCAUGUUGAUUGCUUGCACAGCAAUUGGCACAUUGGUUCAGGAAUUCGAGUGGAAGCUCGGACAAGUGGAGGUGGAAGAGAAUGUGGAUACAGUGGGCCUUACCACCCACAGGCUCCAUCCUUUGCAAGUCAAACUCAAGCAAAGAAAUUAAAUAGGGAAGAUGAACUUUGGAACUAUAUUUUUUUUUACAAAACUUUAGAACUGUGUUGGAAAUAAAGUUAAUAACAUAAUUAGAAAAUAAAAAGUCGCAUGUUUUAAAAGAACCACAUGUAUCCUCUUUGAGGCAAUCAUAUUUGACCUUAGUAAAAGUUUCCCUAAAAUUGCAUCUCCUAAGGUUCGAACUAUUGAUCUCAUAGAUUCAAACAAGCACUUUUUACCACUAGGACCGGUACCUAUUAAGUAUUUUUUUAGUAUUUUAAUUGAGUAAUUAUAUAACGGGUUUUGAAUUAUAGAGGGCAACUAUUUUGUGUGGCAAAAUAAUAUAAAUUUUCAUUUGUAUAGUAUCUUCAUCUUUUAUGUCUUUUAUUUUUAAACAUGUGGUUGAUUUUAUAGCUAUAUAUUUACUUAGUAUUUUUUUUUUGGUAAAUCGGAAAGAAAAAUUGCACUCAUAUGUCUCAUAACUCUUAUCAUUUGACCUAUCAUUCAGAGAUAUAUUUACGUAGUACUUUGACAUAAACAACUUUGAAAAAAUAAAAUUACUUAAAUAUGAAUAUGUAUGGAAAUUAUCCAACUGUGUAUAAAAAACUAAUAAAUUAAUUUAACGGUUCUAAAUGCUGACAAAACCCUAACAAAACCCUUUUUAUUAAUUCUUUAUAUUAUUAAAUAUAACAAUUAACUAAUGUACCAAAAUAUUAAAAAAAUGUUAAAUUAUUGUACAUGUAUAAUAUUUUUAACUUACUUUAAAAAAACUUAACUUCAAUUUUGAAUAUGAAUCCUCUCCAGCAGAAUUGUCUCCAGCAUCAUCCCUCUGCAGGUUUCUAGUCAUUGAUUUUUAAAAUCAAAGGCCCAUAUUACUCAAACAAAAUAAACACCUUAUUAAUUAAAUAUGUACAUGUGAUUUAAGUGGCUGGACUGAAGGAUAUCCUGAUAAGUAUUUCUUUAAGGAUAAAACUUACAUUAAAUUCCUUAUAUUCGUUCCAUCAAGUUCUUCAAUUAUGUAGUGGCAUGUCUCUAAUUUUUUUUAAAAAUUUAACAAUUAAGUCUUAAUAAAUCAUUUACUUUUACAAAUAAAGUCUAUUUGUCAUUGUUUCAAUGAAGAACAUGACAAAAUGAAGAUAAAGAACUUGAUCUAAGUUUUUUCCUUUUUUAAUAUUUAUUAGAUUCAUAAUUAGCAAAUCACUAAUAUUAUUAAACAUGUUAAACAUAACCAAAAUAAACAGCUUAUUAAUUAAAUAUGUACAUGUGUUUUAAGUGGCUGGACAGAAGGAGAGGUAGGAGAGGAUCUCAUCCUGAUAAGUAUUUUUUUCUUGAUAUAAGAUUAGACCCAUGAUUAGCAAGUCACCAAGAUAAAAAAGAUCAUGAUUAGAACGACUAAUAUCACUAGUUCUUUAUAUUUUUAAUUUUUUAUGGCCCUGUCAUUGUAUCUUGUUGCUGACACCGUGACACGAAUCUCUUGGCAGAGAUGCUGCAAUUAUAGCCUCCAAAUUCCAAAAACUGACACGCUUUGUGUGUCUAUAAAUAAACAUUCAUGAUUAUGAUGGUUCCCUUACAACUGAGUGCAGUUCAGAGUUGUGUUGCUAUUGCUAAUUUGCUAUGGACACGCUUCAACUUGUUCAGACACAACCCUAUGCCACUACCCUUGCUUUGGGUGCUGUAUUUCUCUUCUUCUUGUUUUGGUUCACCACCAAACGUUCCAAACUUCCCACAGUACCAGGUAGCUAUCUUUCAUUCAUUAAUGUUUGUUGUUUUAUUAGUAAGUUGCAAUUAAUCAUUUUCUAUGUUUUGAUUGAACUGGUGGUAAAAGUAUUAAACUGGUUGGUUGGUUAAUUUGUUGCAUGCAGCGGUUCCAGGGCUUCCAGUGAUAGGGAAUCUGCUGCAAUUGAAGGAGAAGAAACCUUACAAGACAUUCACUCAAAUGGCUGAGAAAUAUGGGCCAAUUUAUUCAAUCAGAACUGGUGCUUUCACCCUCAUCGUUCUCAACUCUGCUCAAGUUGCCAAGGAGGUUACUUGCUCUUCUCCUUCCCUAUUUUUUCUAUUAUCACUGCUGUUGUUUUCAAAUUUUCAACCCUUUACUUAACAGAUGCAUGAAUAUAUUGAUGUUUAUAUUAAAUCUUCAUGGAAGUGUUUUUAAAAUGUCUGUAUUGACUAGAGAUAUGACCAAAUAAAUUUUUAUAAAGGAUAGAGCAGUUCUCACCCCAAAGCUAGCUUUUGGGGUAAAGUCUAGCAUGAAUUCUAAGAUGAUAUCAGAUCCUAUGGUAUCAGAUUUUAUAUGGAUUCCCAGAUCCAUUUAUCGGAGACUACCCAUAUAUGGACCACUUGUAACUAGAGAUAUAGUCAAAUAAGUCUUUGUCAAGGGUAGAAUAGGUGUAGAGUUAAUGAAUUAUAGGGUUGAUUUUAUUUCUCUAUUUGAAUUUUAUGAUUCCUGUGGCCAUUCGUGGUCCUGCUUGAUAUUGUGUUGGACCACAACCUACUUUUAGCUGAAAAAGAGACCAAAGAAAGACCAAGUACCAAAAAGAGAGCUGGUACUUGCAAGAAUACAAUCACAAUUCAAGGAAUCAGCUGAUUUAAGGAUUGAUCCUCUGAUUCAGCUUCAAUUACCAUGCCAUAUGAGUCCUACUCCUCUUAUGUAGGAGAUUAAUUUAGAAUUGCACAGGUUGUUUCUCUAUUAUCCAGUUUAAUUAUUACGAGUAGGUUAUGGAAAUAUUAGUGUUAACUGUCCAUGAAAUUAUUUAUGUUUCUGGUUUGUUAGAUUAUAAACAUUUAUGGUUGCCUCAGGCAAUGGUGACCAAAUAUUCAUCAAUUUCUUCGAGGAAGCUAUCAAGUGCGCUACAGAUUCUGACUUCCAAUAAAUGUAUGGUUGCUAUGAGUGACUACAAUGAAUUUCACAAAAUGAUUAAAAGACAUAUUCUUGCAAACGUUCUGGGAGCCAAUGCACAGGUUGGUUGGUUGGUUACAAUAACUUGAUUAAAUGUAAAUCUCUUUUUUGUUGUUGUUUGGUUCUGAAAGUGUAUUUUCCAAUAUUCAGAAGCGACAUCGCCUCCAUAGAGAAGUGAUGAUGGAAAACCUUUCGAGGCAGUUUAAUGAACAUGUGAAGACAACCUAUGAUUUGGCUGUGAAUUUUAGGGAAAUAUUUGCAUCUGAACUUUUUGGACUAUCAAUGAAGCAAGUAAGUCUCUGUUUGGAAGAUUUUUUUUGAACUUAUCUUAUAGCAUAAACGUUUAUGCAAGUGUUUGUGACUUCUUAUGUAAAUAGCUUAUGGUCUACCUAUAAGCUGUUUUGAACUUAUUUUUGACUUAUGAAUAAGAGUUUAUGUUUAUCAAUAACCUAUUUUUGGCGUAUUUCAAUACAUUUAUCAAAUUAGUGCAUAAAUAAGCGUUUAUGUGAUAAGCGCUUAUUGCCAUAAGUGCUUAAAUAAGUUGUUUAUCCAAACACACCCUAACAAAUGACCUCAUGGCGAACUUUUAGGCUCUGGGAAGUAAUGUAGAAUCCAUUUAUGUAGAGGAGCUUGGGAGUACAUUGUCAAGAGAUGAUGUAUACAAGAUUCUCGUGCUUGAUAUAAUGGAGGGUGCUAUUGAGGUGGAUUGGCGAGAUUUCUUUCCAUACCUUAAAUGGAUUCCAAAUAAGAGCAUAGAGAUGAAGAUUCAGAAAUUGUAUGAUCGCAGAAAGGCUGUCAUGAAGGCCUUGAUGAAUGAGCAGAGGAAGCGAUUGGCCUCGGGAAAGGUCUGGUUUUUCUUUUAUAAGUACAAGUUCAAAUUUUGUAGAAUCGAUUCUGUGAACUCUAAUUGAUUGUUUGGGAUGUCACAGGAAGAAAAUUGUUAUUUUGACUACCUGUUAUCUGAAGCUAAAGAGCUGACUGAAGAUCAACUUUCCAUGCUGAUAUGGGAGACAAUUAUUGAGACAGCUGAUACAACCUUAGUUACAACAGAAUGGGCUAUUUAUGAACUGGCUAAAGACAAAAAUCGCCAGGUUGUUUUUCGAUCUUUUUGUAUGGUUUGUAAAUUUAUAGCAUAUUUGGAUAAGUUUCUCUUUUCGAAUUGCUUUGAACAAUUUAAAAUCGAUUCUCUAUAGUUUACCCCUUUAUUUCAGAAUCGAUUAUGCUAAAUGUGAAAAAUGAUAGGAUUUCCAAACAUGCUGAGAAUCAAUUCUGGCACCAAGAAGCUACUGAGUCAGUUGUAUCAGCUGUCAUUAGCUUGUAUCAGCUGUCUCACUGGUGAUAGAGUUUGACUUGCAAAGGAUUUGCAAAGUAGUACUGACAUUAGCUUCUCCCUAUAAUUCAUUGAAUCAGUGAUUUCCAAACAUGCAAUUAGUGGUUUACCCCAGUAUUGAUAUAAUGUCGUCGGUUUUGUCUUAAAAUGGCAG
This 5545-nucleotide long non-coding RNA is filed under the name Lotus japonicus. Its description in RNAcentral is "long non-coding RNA (LJAP_LNC001500)". Lineage: Eukaryota; Viridiplantae; Streptophyta; Magnoliopsida; Fabales; Fabaceae. The record is from RNAcentral.